GUAAUGUAUGGGGAGUCUGCCCGAUAGAGGGGGAGUAACUACUGGAAACGGUGGCUAAUACCGCAUAAUGUCUACGGACCAAAGCAGGGGCUCUUCGGACCUUGCACUAUCGGAUGAACCCAUAUGGGAUUAGCUAGUAGGUGGGGUAAAGGCUCACCUAGGCGACGAUCUCUAGCUGGUCUGAGAGGAUGAUCAGCCACACUGGGACUGAGACACGGCCCAGACUCCUACGGGAGGCAGCAUG
This 244-nucleotide ribosomal RNA is filed under the name uncultured bacterium. RNAcentral's name for it is "partial 16S ribosomal RNA". It matches the Rfam family "Bacterial small subunit ribosomal RNA", at positions 110 to 353 of the family's 1533-position model. The record is from RNAcentral.